AGAGAGUUGACAGAGUGGUCGAAUGUACCGGUCUUGAAAACCGGCGUACCGCAAGGUACCGAGGGUUCGAAUCCCUCACUCUCUG
Molecule: transfer RNA, 85 nt
Filed under: Sediminitomix flava
Lineage: Bacteria; Pseudomonadati; Bacteroidota; Cytophagia; Cytophagales; Flammeovirgaceae
Rfam family: tRNA
About the family: Transfer RNA (tRNA) molecules are approximately 80 nucleotides in length. Their secondary structure includes four short double-helical elements and three loops (D, anti-codon, and T loops).
Source: Rfam by way of RNAcentral